GCAGCGCCUCGGAUCAGCAACAAGGAGGGUCCUGUCAUACCUGACCAGAAUGUCCUUAAUCUCCUUCUUGCUCUGCUCAUCCACAUAUUUCUGGUAAAAAGCGACGAGAGCUUUGGCGAUGCUCUGGCGGAUGGCGUAGAUCUGGGAGAUGUGACCGCCUCCCUUGACGCGGAUGCGCAUGUCGACACCGGCGAAGCGCUGUCGUCCGAGGAGUAGGAUGGGUUCGUAGGCCUUGAAGCGGAGGAUCUCGGGCUCGACGAGCUCGAUUGGGCAGCCGUUGAUCUUGAUGAGGCCACGGCCGCGCUUGC
This 308-nucleotide long non-coding RNA is filed under the name Malus domestica (apple). RNAcentral's name for it is "long non-coding RNA (MDOM_LNC019057)". Lineage: Eukaryota; Viridiplantae; Streptophyta; Magnoliopsida; Rosales; Rosaceae. The record is from RNAcentral.